GGGCGAGUGCCCGAGUGGACAAAGGGAUCUGACUGUAAAUCAGACGGCGAUCGCCUUCGGUGGUUCGAAUCCGCCCUCGCCCA
RNAcentral lists this transfer RNA (83 nucleotides) under Deltaproteobacteria bacterium. Its description in RNAcentral is "tRNA-Tyr". It matches the Rfam family "tRNA". Rfam says of the family: Transfer RNA (tRNA) molecules are approximately 80 nucleotides in length. Their secondary structure includes four short double-helical elements and three loops (D, anti-codon, and T loops). Further hydrogen bonds mediate the characteristic L-shaped molecular structure. tRNAs have two regions of fundamental functional importance: the anti-codon, which is responsible for specific mRNA codon recognition, and the 3' end, to which the tRNAs corresponding amino acid is attached (by aminoacyl-tRNA synthetases). tRNAs cope with the degeneracy of the genetic code in two manners: having more than one tRNA (with a specific anti-codon) for a particular amino acid; and 'wobble' base-pairing, i.e. permitting non-standard base-pairing at the 3rd anti-codon position. Lineage: Bacteria; Pseudomonadati; Myxococcota; Myxococcia. The record is from RNAcentral. RNAcentral also lists the same sequence under 6 other names.